RNAcentral lists this ribosomal RNA (2860 nucleotides) under Clostridioides difficile. RNAcentral describes it as "23S ribosomal RNA". It matches the Rfam family "Bacterial large subunit ribosomal RNA". The record is from RNAcentral. Lineage: Bacteria; Bacillati; Bacillota; Clostridia; Peptostreptococcales; Peptostreptococcaceae.
UAGGAGCCGAUGAAGGACGUGAUAAGCUGCGAUAAGCUUCGGGGAGUUGCACGUAAACUUUGAUCCGAAGAUUUCCGAAUGAGGAAACUCACUUAGAGUAAUGUCUAAGUAUCAUUAAGUGAAUACAUAGCUUAAUGAGGGGAACUCAGGGAACUGAAACAUCUAAGUACCUGAAGGAAGAGAAAGAAAUUCGAUUCCGUAAGUAGCGGCGAGCGAACGCGGAUUAGCCCAAACCAAUAAAGUUUUCUUUAUUGGGGUUGCGGACAUAUCAUAACGAAGAGGUAUCGUAAUUGAAGAGGUUUGGAAAGACCCACCACAGAAGGUAAUAGUCCUGUAUGUUAAACGAGAAGACUUCAGAUAUGAUCCAGAGUACCACGGGACACGUGAAACCCUGUGGGAAGCAGGAGGGACCACCCUCCAAGGCUAAAUACUACCUAGUGACCGAUAGCGUAUAGUACCGUGAGGGAAAGGUGAAAAGAACCCCGGGAGGGGAGUGAAAUAGAACCUGAAACCCUGCACUUACAAGCUGUGGAAGCACAUUUCUUGUGUGACCGCGUACUUUUUGUAGAACGGGCCAACGAGUUACGUUAAGUAGCAAGGUUAAGCACUUAAGGUGUGGAGCCGUAGCGAAAGCGAGUUUUAACUGAGCGUUCAGUUACUUGACGUAGACCCGAAACCGGGCGACCUACCCAUGAGCAGGAUGAAGCGAAAGUAAAAUUUCGUGGAGGUCCGAACCCACGAGCGUUGAAAAGCUCGGGGAUGACUUGUGGGUAGCGGUGAAAUUCCAAUCGAGCCCGGAGAUAGCUGGUUCUCCCCGAAAUAGCUUUAGGGCUAGCCUCAAGGUGAGAGAUACGGAGGUAGAGCACUGAAUGUCCUAGGGGGUAUUGCACCUACCGAAGACUAUCAAACUCCGAAUGCCGUCAUCUUAUACUUGGGAGUCAGACUGUGGGUGAUAAGAUUCAUAGUCGAAAGGGCAACAGCCCAGAUCGUCAGCUAAGGUCCCUAAAUGUAAGUUAAGUGGUAAAGGAUGUGGGAUUGCACAGACAACCAGGAUGUUGGCUUAGAAGCAGCCACUCAUUCAAAGAGUGCGUAAUAGCUCACUGGUCGAGUGAUCCUGCGCCGAAGAUUUCCGGGGCUAAAACUUACUACCGAAGCUACGGCAUCAGUAAUGAUGGGUAGGGGAGCUUCCCAUACGGGUUGAAGCAUGACCGUAAGGACAUGUGGACAGUAUGGGAGUGAGAAUGUUGGCAUGAGUAGCGAGAUGUGGGUGAGAAUCCCACAGGCCGUAAACCCAAGGUUUCCAGGGGAAGGUUCGUCCGCCCUGGGUUAGUCGGGACCUAAGCUGAGGCCGAAAGGCGUAGGUGAUGGACAACAGGUUGAUAUUCCUGUACUACCGAUAACCGUUUGAGAGAAGGGAUGACACAGUAGGAUAAGCUAAGCACACUGUUGGUUAUGUGUGCCCAAGCAUUGAGGCAGUCAAAGUAGGCAAAUCCGCUUUGAUAAUGCUGGGAUGUGAUGGGGAGCGAAAUUUAGUAGCGAAGUAGCUGAUUUCACACUGUCAAGAAAAGUCUCUAUCGAGGUUAAAGGUACCCGUACCGCAAACCGACACAGGUGGGUGAGGAGAGUAUCCUAAGGCCAGCGAGAGAACUGUUGUUAAGGAACUCGGCAAAAUGACCCCGUAACUUAGGGAUAAGGGGUGCCACCAUCAGGUGGCCGCAGAGAAUAGGCCCAAGCGACUGUUUACCAAAAACAUAGGUUUCUGCUAAGUCGCAAGACGAUGUAUAGGAGCUGACGCCUGCCCGGUGCUGGAAGGUUAAGGGGAUCUGUUAGAGCAAUCGAAGCAGUGAACUUAAGCCCCAGUAAACGGCGGCCGUAACUAUAACGGUCCUAAGGUAGCGAAAUUCCUUGUCGGGUAAGUUCCGACCCGCACGAAAGGCGUAACGAUUUGGGCACUGUCUCAACAACAGACUCGGUGAAAUUGUAAUUCCGGUGAAGAUGCCGGAUACCUGCGACAGGACGGAAAGACCCCAUGGAGCUUUACUGUAGCUUGACAUUGGGUCUUGGUACUACAUGUACAGGAUAGGUGGGAGGCUUUGAAACCAGGACGCCAGUUUUGGCGGAGCCAUCCUUGGGAUACCACCCUUGUAGUACUGGGACUCUAACCAUAGGCCAUGAAUCUGGUCUUGGGACACUGUCAGGUGGGCAGUUUGACUGGGGCGGUCGCCUCCCAAAAGGUAACGGAGGCGCUCAAAGGUUCUCUCAGUACGGUCGGAAAUCGUACGUAGAGUGUAAAGGCAAAAGAGAGCUUGAUUGCAAGACAUACAGGUCGAGCAAGGAUGAAAAUCGGACUUAGUGAUCCGGUGGUUCUGCGUGGAAGGGCCAUCGCUCAACGGAUAAAAGCCUACCCUGGGGAUAACAGGCUUAUCUCCCCCAAGAGUCCACAUCGACGGGGAGGUUUGGCACCUCGAUGUCGGCUCAUCACAUCCUGGGGCUGUAGUAGGUCCCAAGGGUUGGGCUGUUCGCCCAUUAAAGUGGUACGCGAGCUGGGUUCAGAACGUCGUGAGACAGUUCGGUCCCUAUCCGUCGCAGGCGUAGGAAAUUUGAGAAGACCUGUCCUUAGUACGAGAGGACCGGGAUGGACGUACCUCUGGUGUACCAGUUGUUCUGCCAAGGGCAUGGCUGGGUAGCUAUGUACGGAAUGGAUAAGCGCUGAAAGCAUCUAAGCGCGAAGCCAACUUCAAGAUAAGAUUUCCCACCGCAAGGGUAAGACCCCAGAAAGACUAUCUGGUUGAUAGGUCGAAGGUGUAAGUGCAGCAAUGUAUUUAGCUUAUCGAUACUAAUAGGUCGAGGACUUGACCAA